Molecule: small nucleolar RNA, 98 nt
Organism: Clarias gariepinus (North African catfish)
Lineage: Eukaryota; Metazoa; Chordata; Actinopteri; Siluriformes; Clariidae
Product: small nucleolar RNA SNORD16
Exons: 1
Source: RefSeq, a predicted model, not a curated record
UGCUGUGAUGGUGUAAUUUGCGUCCUACUCAGCGUGAAGUGACAGUUGCCUGCUGUUAUAUGCUUCCGCUGGAGAUUGACGAAACUUGAAUCUGAGCU